UACGUAGGGGCGAGCGUUGUCCGGAAUGACUGGGCGUAAAGGGCGCGUAGGCGGCCGAAUAAGUCUGGAGUGAAAGUCCUGCUUUCAAGGUGGGAAUUGCUUUGGAAACUGUUUGGCUUGAGUGCGGAAGAGGCAAGUGGAAUUCCUGGUGUAGCGGUGAAAUGCGCAGAUAUCAGGAGGAACACCGAUGGCGAAGGCAGGUCUCUGGGCCACUACUGACGCUGAGAAGUGAAAGCAUGGGGAGCGAACAGGAUUAGAUA
RNAcentral lists this ribosomal RNA (260 nucleotides) under uncultured prokaryote. RNAcentral describes it as "partial 16S ribosomal RNA". It matches the Rfam family "Bacterial small subunit ribosomal RNA", at positions 524 to 784 of the family's 1533-position model. The record is from RNAcentral.